RNAcentral lists this ribosomal RNA (498 nucleotides) under uncultured bacterium. RNAcentral's name for it is "partial 16S ribosomal RNA". It matches the Rfam family "Bacterial small subunit ribosomal RNA", at positions 30 to 523 of the family's 1533-position model. The record is from RNAcentral.
AUUGAACGCUGGCGGCAUGCCUUACACAUGCAAGUCGAACGGUAACAGGUCUUCGGAUGCUGACGAGUGGCGAACGGGUGAGUAAUACAUCGGAACGUGCCUAGUAGUGGGGGAUAACUACUCGAAAGAGUGGCUAAUACCGCAUGAGAUCUACGGAUGAAAGCAGGGGAUCGCAAGACCAUGUGCUACUAGAGCGGCCGAUGGCAGAUUAGGUAGUUGGUGGGAUAAAAGCUUACCAAGCCGACGAUCUGUAGCUGGUCUGAGAGGACGACCAGCCACACUGGGACUGAGACACGGCCCAGACUCCUACGGGAGGCAGCAGUGGGGAAUUUUGGACAAUGGGCGCAAGCCUGAUCCAGCAAUGCCGCGUGCAGGAAGAAGGCCUUCGGGUUGUAAACUGCUUUUGUACGGAGCGAAAAGGCUCUCUCUAAUACAGGGGGCUGAUGACGGUACCGUAAGAAUAAGCACCGGCUAACUACGUGCCAGCCGCCGCCGUAA